AACGCGUAGAUAAUCUGCCCGACGAUCUGGGAUAACAGNGNCGAAAGNNCUGCUAAUACCGGAUAAGCCCACGUGGUCUUUGGACCGUGCGGGAAAAGGGGGGGACCUUCGGGCCUUCUGUCGUCGGAUGAGUCUGCGUACCAUUAGCUAGUUGGUAGGGUAGUGGCCUACCAAGGCUACGAUGGUUAGCUGGUCUGAGAGGAUGAUCAGCCACACUGGAACUGAGACACGGUCCAGACUCCUACGGGA
RNAcentral lists this ribosomal RNA (249 nucleotides) under uncultured Geobacteraceae bacterium. RNAcentral describes it as "partial 16S ribosomal RNA". It matches the Rfam family "Bacterial small subunit ribosomal RNA", at positions 112 to 346 of the family's 1533-position model. The record is from RNAcentral. Lineage: Bacteria; Pseudomonadati; Thermodesulfobacteriota; Desulfuromonadia; Geobacterales; Geobacteraceae.